CGCCUCUUGAUUAAUUAUAAGAGGUAUAGCCUGCCCAGUGAUAUAUUUAACGGCCGCGGUAUCCUAACCGUGCAAAGGUAGCGUAAUCACUUGUUCUUUAAAUGAGGACUAGUAUGAACGGCAUCACGAAGGUUAUACUGUCUCCUUUCUUUAAUCAGUAAAACUAAUCUCCCCGUGAAGAAACGAGGAUAAAUCUAUAAGACGAGAAGACCCUAUGGAGCUUAAAACUAUCCAGCAUUUGCUUAAUACAAAACUUUUAAUAACUUUAAAGACAUCUAGCCCACUGACUGGUAAUUUUCGAUUGGGGUGAUCACGGAACAAAAAAUAACCUCCGUGUCGAAAGAGUUUAUCUGAGCUAAAAGCGACAGCUUUCCGCACUAAUAAAUUAACGUUUAUUGACCCAAUAUUUUGAUCAACGAAUCAAGUUACCCUAGGGAUAACAGCGCAAUCUACUUCAAGAGUCCCUAUCGACAAGUAGGUUUACGACCUCGAUGUUGGAUCAGGGUAUCCCAGUGGUGCAGCCACUACUAAAGGUUCGUUUGUUCAACGAUUAAUACCCUA
Molecule: ribosomal RNA, 561 nt
Filed under: Boana punctata (polka-dot treefrog)
Lineage: Eukaryota; Metazoa; Chordata; Amphibia; Anura; Hylidae
Description: partial 16S ribosomal RNA
Rfam family: Bacterial large subunit ribosomal RNA
Source: RNAcentral